Molecule: long non-coding RNA, 1668 nt
Organism: Artibeus jamaicensis (Jamaican fruit-eating bat)
Lineage: Eukaryota; Metazoa; Chordata; Mammalia; Chiroptera; Phyllostomidae
Exons: 2
Source: RefSeq, a predicted model, not a curated record
CCGGCCCCGCUGUGACGCAGGGCGCCGCGCCGCGCGCUUCCUCCGCCGCGGAGACCACCCUGCGCCACCGGCCGGCCGGCGAGGGCGGCCGCCUGGCACCGUGCGCUUUCUUCGGGAUGUGGGGGGAAUCGCUCCGCCGCUGCCCCGCGGGGCCCCUCAGGCCUCCGACCCGCCCACCUGGCUGCUCUGCCCUGGGAAUCGGCUGGGAAUAGUGACUGACCCCCAUCCAACACACGCACCCGUCCUAACAAGGCGCGGAAUUCCGGAGCCUUCCAGGUGCGCGCAUCCACUCUGCCACCGCAGCUCCUCCUCCCCCCCCCCCCGAACAGAAGGGCGGGAGUGAUCGUGGGACGCACUGAGGUCGACGCGGAAAGAGGAAGCCAAAAGCUAAUUUCCCUGGGCCAUGAAGCCCAUCAGCCCUUUGACACUGCAGUCUCCUUUCCCGCAGGACCCCCACGCGCCGGGACAGGGACAGCUGGGCUGCAAGAUCCCAGGACGCUGAUGUUGAACGCGCCUGUAAGUUCAUGUUCUGCAUAGAGGAGUUGACCGUGCAUGUCAAAACCACCUGUGGUUUAAGAGUAUGGGGGAGAGGUUCUUUCUUACUGCUCUGAACCGUGCUUUUCUCCUCCACACUCCCCUACCCAAUUUCAGGAUGCAAAAGCAAACGCUGCCUUCUUGAAAGCAGGCAACAAUCUAUAUGGAAAAACGUACAGACAAGAUUACUAAGUAAUAUAAAGCCUUCCGGGAUGCCUCAGCAAUACCAGCCAUUUUACAAGCACCAAAAAUUAAAAACUGCUCUGUUCUGGUAGCCAGGAAAAGACUGAUGUACAUGAAUAGAGCAAUUAAUAGAUGAGUAGUCAGUCGUCUUUCACUGGUUGAUUUGUUCUUACCCAGCAAGCCUUAAGAAAGCAGGCACCUCCUUUUACCCCAUUUCUAUUUCCAAGCCAAAAUGCAAAUGCAUGCAGAAGUUGUUCUCUUGGGCGUUAACUGCUCCCCUACCUCAGUUCACCUGGAAAACUCCUACACUUUUGCAAUUCCAGUACUGUUUUUGCUCCUCCACCUGCAGAAAACUACUUUAAAUCCUUUUAGCCCUUGGGAGAUGGCUCCAACAGCAGCCUUAAUUAACCUAGAUGGAGACAAAAAUCUAGGGUGGGGCCUUCCUCCUAGAUAUCAGGCGGAAAAAUUCUUGGAGUAUUUCUAGGGGAAAGACAGAGACUGACUUUAGAAAUUUGCUAAACAUUUCAAGUACCUUGCAAGCCACCGGGUACUCUGUGAGGUAUGUUCAGCACCAAGAUGUAUUUAAAGACUCCAGGAAGCAAGCACUAAGGGCACAAGCCUCCUGUGGUGAGCCUUGUCCUGCAAGUGCUCUCCGAGCACACCUCUGUCUCUCUUGUACCAUUGGAACCUUGACCUCAAGCUUAAGCAUCCCUGAAAUGCUCCUGUGCUACCCAGUGUCAAGGAAGAUUCAGCCCUAGACUUUGGAUUGAGAAGAACCAGGAAUACUGCUCUUCAUGUGUCAAUGUAAAGAAGUAAUUGCCACUUAAAAAAAAUCAUCAGCGAUCUAACUGCUAUAGGGUACUAUGAGAAUUAGAUAACAUGCUUAAAGCAGCAAGAACAGUGCCAAGCACAUUGUAAGUACUCAAUAAAGGUAGCUGUUAUGUACUCUUA